CGAUCCCUACUUACGUAUUUUGCUACAAUUGAUAAAAAGAUGGUUUAAUUUGUGUGCUUAUAUAUUUCGUAUCAAUUAUCUAAUGCAUGUGUGCUUCUGCGGCAGGAGUUGCAGAAUGCUGAUCCGACAUAGAAAAGAACGGUAGAUGUCUGGAGUUUAUCUGAAAAGGAAAGGUGCACUGUCCUUUACCGCCGCUAAAAUUUUCUUAUCAGUAAGCAGCUGUCCUGUAAUUAGAUUUGUCAGAGUAUUCAUGCAUUCUUGCUGCUUAGCGGGUUGCCUUGGAGUCUCGGGAGAAUGCAUGAGUGGCACACAGACUUUUGUAGGAGCAGAUUCUAUGGAAAUUUCAAGGUCAUCAGGGGCUGUUUCCUCCUUUGGGCGUGAAUAACAGGCAGAUGUCUCCUCGGUUCCUGCACCAACCUCUUGAUCAUCAUAGCUUCUCCCACGGUUUACUGCUUGAAUUUGAAAUCCUUGAUUGGUUAUUUCUAUGUACAAUUCAAUUGAUUCCAACAAUUUAGAUAGUUUGUCCUCCACCGAAAGCUCUUGUGGCACAUUAAGCCGUUCAAAAUACUGCCCAAGAUGCCGUUUCAAACUUUGAGUGUAGAACUCUGAAUGGGGAUUGUUCCAGUUCCAUUUUGAAUCGUUUCUCAUAUUUAUAUACUCCUGGACAUAAUCUGGAAAAUAUUCUCUCUCAGGACAUUGCAAAAUAUCAUGAGUAUUUGAAUUACAAAGAGCACAAACUGUAGGCUUAAAUCCAUAAUAACCCUUUUCUGCUAAUGACACCCAAAGAGGUGGUCCACCGGGUGUUAGAUUGAAUUCAGGGGGAACUGCAAAUUCCAUUGUUGCACUGCUCAAAAA
Molecule: long non-coding RNA, 855 nt
Organism: Malus domestica (apple)
Lineage: Eukaryota; Viridiplantae; Streptophyta; Magnoliopsida; Rosales; Rosaceae
Source: RefSeq, a predicted model, not a curated record